UUGAGGAAGAGGGAAAGAGAGGAUCAUGAAGGAGAAGGAUCAGAAUCCUGAGGGGAGAGAAUCCCUGCUGUGAGGUCAGUCUGGUUGUGCAGUCAGAGCCUGUUGUUGGAACCUGCAGCCACAGUCUAGCUGGGUAAAAGCCUGCAGUCAGAGUCUGCAAACUGAUCCCUGCAGUCAGAGUUUAGCGGGAAAUAACCAGCAGUCAGAGGCUGCCAGGGAGCCCUGCAGUAGGAGCUUGCUGCAGCCGGGGUCAGUGAAUGGUUGGAGUCAGCAUGGCUGAGCUGUAAAGAGGGAUAAACCAGGGCCCUUUUCAUGCUGUGAUAAGCAAGAAGUCUGUGUCUUGGCUCAUUUCUACCCUGUUACAAGAGCGCUGCUGCAACAGCUGGAUGGAUUGUGGUUUUUGUGUAUAUGAGAAACACCCGGAUCUAGGCAUCAAGAAAAUCUCAAUCGCUACUUUUUCAAUAGCAUAAAUCACACCACACUUUGUUCAGCUUAUUUUCUGGAAACAGUUCUUUGGCAUGUCCUUGAAAGCUUUGUUUCCUGCUGCUGAACUACAGUCUGCCUUGUCCACCUAAAAUGAGAAAAAUCCCCAGCAUGACAUCCAUUUAACUGAGCACACAGAGAAUUUCUCAGAAACUUGGACUCAGUCAACCCAGACGACUGGUGCUGUCCCCUGGAACAAAAUGGGUAUAAUUCUUGAACAACUUAGCAUGGGACACAGAAGGGUUUAAUUGUUGGAAAUACGUCCACUCGACUCCAAGGACUAGAAAUAAUGGCAUCAAGCUUUCCACAAGGAAAACCUUAUUUCCCUUUCCAAAAGCUCAUAGUCCCUUGAAGCAGGAAGACAUGCCAGAAGUAAAUAAUCUGAAGUUGAAGGAGACGGGUAAUCCUAUACUUCAUUCACUUGAUUCCAUACAGAUGCUGCCACGGGUGAAUGAUAUGAAAUAGUACACUGAAAUCUCUGUGAAGUCCUGCCAGAGAGAGAGAACUUCUGGAUUUCUACAACACUUUGAGCUUUCACUGCAUGCUGUGUCUAUCCUAUGGACAGAUCAACUUGAUCAUGUACCACAUUUUGUAUCAAACCAGCAUAAAAAUUAAUGAAAGAGAUAGUGGCCUUCAAUUUUCAGGAGGCUGGUGUAGUUUUUGGAAUAUCCCUGGGUUACCAUAUGCAUUUCCACACAGUGUCUA
Hirundo rustica (Barn swallow) is the source of this 1188-nucleotide long non-coding RNA. RefSeq lists it as uncharacterized. NCBI's taxonomy places the organism in Eukaryota, Metazoa, Chordata, Aves, Passeriformes, Hirundinidae. The record is from RefSeq and is a predicted model, not a curated record. The transcript is spliced from 7 exons.